CCCCUGGUGGUCUAGUGGUUAGGAUGCGGCGCCCUCACCGCUGCGGCCCGGGUUCGAUUCCCGGUCAGGGAA
This 72-nucleotide transfer RNA is filed under the name Manacus vitellinus (golden-collared manakin). It matches the Rfam family "tRNA". From Rfam's summary of the family: Transfer RNA (tRNA) molecules are approximately 80 nucleotides in length. The record is from Rfam by way of RNAcentral. Lineage: Eukaryota; Metazoa; Chordata; Aves; Passeriformes; Pipridae.